This 354-nucleotide ribosomal RNA is filed under the name Salmonella enterica. RNAcentral describes it as "partial 23S ribosomal RNA". Lineage: Bacteria; Pseudomonadati; Pseudomonadota; Gammaproteobacteria; Enterobacterales; Enterobacteriaceae. The record is from RNAcentral.
CUGUUCGCCAUUUAAAGUGGUACGCGAGCUGGGUUUAGAACGUCGUGAGACAGUUCGGUCCCUAUCUGCCGUGGGCGCUGGAGAACUGAGGGGGGCUGCUCCUAGUACGAGAGGACCGGAGUGGACGCAUCACUGGUGUUCGGGUUGUCAUGCCAAUGGCACUGCCCGGUAGCUAAAUGCGGAAGAGAUAAGUGCUGAAAGCAUCUAAGCACGAAACUUGCCCCGAGAUGAGUUCUCCCUGAGACUUWRAGUCUCCUGAAGGAACGUUGAAGACGACGACGUUGAUAGGCCGGGUGUGUAAGCGCAGCGAUGCGUUGAGCUAACCGGUACUAAUGAACCGUGAGGCUUAACCUU